This 529-nucleotide ribosomal RNA is filed under the name uncultured bacterium. Its description in RNAcentral is "bacterial SSU rRNA". It matches the Rfam family "Bacterial small subunit ribosomal RNA", at positions 777 to 1305 of the family's 1533-position model. The record is from RNAcentral.
AAUAGAUACCCAGGUAGUCCACGCCGUAAACGAUGAGUGCUAAGUGUUAGGGGGUUUCCGCCCCUUAGUGCUGCAGCUAACGCAUUAAGCACUCCGCCUGGGGAGUACGGUCGCAAGACUGAAACUCAAAGGAAUUGACGGGGGCCCGCACAAGCGGUGGAGCAUGUGGUUUAAUUCGAAGCAACGCGAAGAACCUUACCAGCUCUUGACAUCCUCUGACAAUCCUAGAGAUAGGACGUCCCCUUCGGGGGCAGAGUGACAGGUGGUGCAUGGUUGUCGUCAGCUCGUGUCGUGAGAUGUUGGGUUAAGUCCCGCAACGAGCGCAACCCUUGAUCUUAGUUGCCAGCAUUCAGUUGGGGCACUCUAAGGUGACUGCCGGUGACAAACCGGAGGAAGGUGGGGAUGACGUCAAAUCAUCAUGCCCCUUAUGACCUGGGCUACACACGUGCUACAAUGGACAGAACAAAGGGCAGCGAAACCGCGAGGUUAAGCCAAUCCCACAAAUCUGUUCUCAGUUCGGAUCGCUACG